This 254-nucleotide ribosomal RNA is filed under the name uncultured bacterium. Its description in RNAcentral is "partial 16S ribosomal RNA". It matches the Rfam family "Bacterial small subunit ribosomal RNA", at positions 524 to 776 of the family's 1533-position model. The record is from RNAcentral.
UACGGAGGGUGCAAACGUUUGCUCGGAAUUAUUGGGCGUAAAGCGCACGUAGGCGGCUUUGCAAGUCCCAUGUGAAAUCCCACGGCUCAACCGUGGAAGUGCAUGGGAAACUGCAGAGCUUGAGUACUUAAGAGGAUCGCGGAAUUCCCGGUGUAGAGGUGAAAUUCGUAGAUAUCGGGAGGAACACCAGUGGCGAAGGCGGCGAUCUGGGAAGAUACUGACGCUGAGGUGCGAAAGCGUGGGGAGCAAACAGG